This 447-nucleotide ribosomal RNA is filed under the name uncultured bacterium. RNAcentral describes it as "bacterial SSU rRNA". It matches the Rfam family "Bacterial small subunit ribosomal RNA", at positions 355 to 825 of the family's 1533-position model. The record is from RNAcentral.
UGGGGAAUCUUGGGCAAUGGGCGAAAGCCUGAUCCAGCCAUGCCGCGUGAGUGACGAAGGUCUUCGGAUUGUAAAGCUCUUUUGGCGGGGACGAUAAUGACGGUACCCGCAGAAUAAGCCCCGGCUAACUUCGUGCCAGCAGCCGCGGUAAUACGAAGGGGGCUAGCGUUGUUCGGAAUUACUGGGCGUAAAGCGCACGUAGGCGGAUUUGUAAGUCAGGGGUGAAAUCCCGGGGCUCAACCUCGGAACUGCCCUUGAUACUGCAAAUCUCGAGUCCGAUAGAGGUGAGUGGAAUUCCUAGUGUAGAGGUGAAAUUCGUAGAUAUUAGGAAGAACACCAGUGGCGAAGGCGGCUCACUGGAUCGGUACUGACGCUGAGGUGCGAAAGCGUGGGGAGCAAACAGGAUUAGAUACCCAAGUAGUCCCUGAGCGGGCUGGCAAGGCGCAU